Molecule: small nuclear RNA, 101 nt
Filed under: Nannospalax galili (Upper Galilee mountains blind mole rat)
Lineage: Eukaryota; Metazoa; Chordata; Mammalia; Rodentia; Spalacidae
Source: RNAcentral
GAACUUUAGGCAGUGUAUAUACUAAAGUCAGAAUAAUACAGAGGAAAUUAGCAGAAUGCUGCACAAGGAUGACAGUAAUUCAUGGAACAUUCCAGGUUUUA